Molecule: ribosomal RNA, 807 nt
Filed under: uncultured bacterium
Lineage: Bacteria
Description: bacterial SSU rRNA
Rfam family: Bacterial small subunit ribosomal RNA
Source: RNAcentral
AGUUUGAUCCUGGCUCAGAAUCAACGCUGGCGGCGUGCCUAACACAUGCAAGUCGCACGAGAAAGGGACCUCGGUCCUGAGUACAGUGGCGCACGGGUGAGUAACACGUGAAUCAUCUACCUUCGAGUGGGGAAUAACUGAGAGAAAUCUUAGCUAAUACCGCAUAAUACCUACGGGUCAAAGCAGCAAUGCGCUUGAAGAGGAGUUCGCGGCAGAUUAGUUAGUUGGCGGGGUAAUGGCCCACCAAGACGAUGAUCUGUAUCCGGCCUGAGAGGGCGCACGGACACACUGGAACUGAAACACGGUCCAGACUCCUACGGGAGGCAGCAGUGGGGAAUUUUGCGCAAUGGGGGAAACCCUGACGCAGCAACGCCGCGUGGAGGAUGAAAUCCCUUGGGAUGUAAACUCCUUUCGAUCGGGAAGAUAAUGACGGUACCGAGAGAAGAAGCCCCGGCUAACUUCGUGCCAGCAGCCGCGGUAAUACGAGGGGGGCAAGCGUUGUUCGGAAUUAUUGGGCGUAAAGGGUGCGUAGGCGGUUUGAUAAGUUUGAUGUGAAAUCUCUGGGCUCAACCCAGAGUCUGCAUCGAAAACUGUCGGGCUUGAGUAUGGGAGAGGUGAGUGGAAUUUCCGGUGUAGCGGUGAAAUGCGUAGAUAUCGGAAGGAACACCUGUGGCGAAAGCGGCUCACUGGACCAUUACUGACGCUGAUGCACGAAAGCUAGGGGAGCAAACAGGAUUAGAUACCCUGGUAGUCCUAGCCCUAAACGAUGAUUGCUUGAUGUGGUGGGUACCCAAUCCCGCCGUGUCG